RNAcentral lists this non-coding RNA (164 nucleotides) under Palpitomonas bilix. The record is from RNAcentral.
ACAAAAAUUACUUCUAUUUUCUUUCUGUUAUUUGGAUGUUCGAUUUUUCUUCCUGCAGCUUUCAACACCACAUCCCUUCAGGAUUUCAGGAGUGGAGGCGGGGGAAAUAGGGAGGCUUACGUAUGGACACCCUUUUAGAUUCCCCUCCCAUGCUGUACCUUUUU